UCUUUGGCCACAAUUGGAGGCCAUGAUUUGAAGAGGGUGACUUGGAACAUUCUAGGCCGGCUUUACACAGACGACGUGUCCCACCAGAUCAACUGGAAAGGUGUGAACACCAAAAAGGCCUUCAGCCAGAUGUCGGCAAAGAGCUUGCUUUUCAGUGCUGUGAGGAAAAACUCCCUCACAAAGUCCGUCACCGAUGCGGAGGUCACAAAGCACACCAUCAGGUGGUUUAACCUGGCCAUGGAUCGGGCGACAAAGAGACGAGGAGGUGUCCGUCCCCCGACAUGUCCCUCACAGCCGUAGUGAAGCCGUAAUGAAGCAGUUGAGAACAUAAUGAAUAAAAAAAUUACUCAAAUUA
Molecule: long non-coding RNA, 355 nt
Organism: Gadus macrocephalus (Pacific cod)
Lineage: Eukaryota; Metazoa; Chordata; Actinopteri; Gadiformes; Gadidae
Exons: 2
Source: RefSeq, a predicted model, not a curated record